RNAcentral lists this ribosomal RNA (29 nucleotides) under Boletus aestivalis. Its description in RNAcentral is "partial 18S ribosomal RNA". The record is from RNAcentral. Lineage: Eukaryota; Fungi; Basidiomycota; Agaricomycetes; Boletales; Boletaceae.
GUACAAGGUUUCCGUAGGUGAACCUGCGG